This 1870-nucleotide long non-coding RNA is filed under the name Elaeis guineensis (African oil palm). RNAcentral's name for it is "long non-coding RNA (EGUI_LNC000502)". Lineage: Eukaryota; Viridiplantae; Streptophyta; Magnoliopsida; Arecales; Arecaceae. The record is from RNAcentral.
UUACGUGUGGUGAAUAUCAUUAUCAGUAUAUCUUGUGAGACUUCAUGGAAACAUAAGUUGUCCAUCUCCCAGAAUCCCUUCUGAGAGCAUUUAUUUAUCACUAUAUAAUUCCUGUAGCCACAAUAGUAAGCUUUCUCGAAAUGUCAGUUUUUGAACCAAAAUACCCUCUUUAUGCACUUAGUGCAAGCUCCAAAAUGAUUACAUAACUCAAUAAUCAAUCUCACCAAAAUCCAGCUUGCAAGUAAUCUCAUGUCACAGCAAAUCAGCAAAUCUAUUGCUUGUCUGUCAAAACUCCAUAUGAGUUGCCAAAACAUGCAAAUGUACAGAUUUCAAAUCAACCUAUUAUAUAUGUUAGCUUAAAGGAACAUAGGAAUGCAGUCAAACAAAGUAGAGAAAAUAUUAUGAAUGAAAAAUGAAAAGCAUGACACUUGCAUGCAAUGUCAGUAGGUACAGGAAUACCAGAUGGGAUUUCUGGUGUAACUAGCCUAUGCAUCGCCUAUAAAAGAAAAUAUGUAUUCCAUUAUAUUUCACCCAUAUUGGAAUAUAGAAAAGGCAGUGAUGAGGGGAAAAUUGAGAAUUAAAAAAUCUUAUAGGAUAAACAAUUUAAUAUACACUAGGAAGACGGACAAUAACAAUUGUUGAUUUACCAAAAGCUGUUGGUGCAAAUACUAAGAACAAUAAACAAAAGGAGACUAUACAACUAUAAAUAAACAAACUGAUGAACAAAAUUGAUUAGGUCUGUUGGCUAAGGAUGUGCUUAUGCCUCAUCUCUUUAUUCUUUUAUUGAACGACUUGGCAUUGGUAUUCCAUAGGAAUCCCCCUGGGGUACAUUUAAUAUAGGAAUAGACUUUGUUCAUAAAUCUCUAAUAGUCAGAAUUUAAUGGAAAUCUAUGCACAAAAAAAGAGAGUUUAAAACUAGUGGAACUUAAGAAAGCACCACAGAAUAGUUUUGUGGAAACAUAUAUCGAAAGAUGAGACUUAAAUAGAAAUCCAAGGCCAUCAGAUGCUCAAAUUAUGAUAUCUUCUUUUACUUGUCUCAUUAUAGAAUGACAACAUAUGAUGAACUACUAACAAAUGCACAUGACUUAACGGAGAAACAUGCAAGACCAAAUUAUCAACAGGCUUAACAUAAGAUAACCAGUUCACAACAAAGAUGUUUGCAACAUUAAAAUGAAGUGCCUGAAGUAAAUGAAAAUAUUACUGAACCACCAAAUUAAAUCAUUGUUCAAGUAUGUAUCUUGAACCUUCAUCAACACCAUGUAGGCUUAUGAGGAUCUGAAUCAUCACUGCUUUAUCCUAGUUUGUUCCUAUUUGGAUUUUAUCUGUCCGAAACAUGACUCCAAUAUGAAUCAUAACUCACGUACCAAGUGCCACUCCAUGUAUUCUCUCACAGUUGAGAUACAUUUGAUGUCAACAAAAUGUCAUACCAACUAAUCCUCAACAAUCAGUAACUGCAAGUCAUCCAUGAUACAUGGGAUGUUGCCUAAAACUUUUAGGCAUCUGAAAGCCUCAGAUGCCUAUAUUAUUAAUCUUAGUGGCUUUUCACAAAAACACCCGUACCAUAUAAAAUUGUGUUUUAAGAAUCCAUGUUAUCAACUGAUCACCAUGAAUUCUGAACCAUGACUCAAUAUAUUCCAAACAUGAGCAUGAGCAGAAAACAGUACUCAGUUACGUUGAUAAGGCCAAUGAACUCUGAUAAAGGGUAGUAUGGUUCACUACUGAGUUUUCCACAUUAUCUUGGAGACCAAAUAGAUGAGGGUAAAUGAAGUAUCUAUGAAACAGCAUCACAAUUGACCAAUCAGAUUAGUUCUGCCAAGUAGAAGCAUAACGAGAGAGAGAGAGAGAGAGAGAGAGAGAGAGAGAGAGAGUA